This 254-nucleotide ribosomal RNA is filed under the name uncultured bacterium. Its description in RNAcentral is "partial 16S ribosomal RNA". It matches the Rfam family "Bacterial small subunit ribosomal RNA", at positions 524 to 776 of the family's 1533-position model. The record is from RNAcentral.
CACGUAGGGUGCGAGCGUUGUCCGGAAUUAUUGGGCGUAAAGAGCUCGUAGGCGGUGUGUCGCGUCGGCCGUGAAAACCUGCAGCUUAACUGUGGGCUUGCGGUCGAUACGGGCAUCACUGGAGUUCGGCAGGGGAGACUGGAAUUCCUGGUGUAGCGGUGAAAUGCGCAGAUAUCAGGAGGAACACCGGUGGCGAAGGCGGGUCUCUGGGCCGAUACUGACGCUGAUGCGCGAAAGCUAGGGGAGCAAACGGG